UGUAAGCUCCGAAAUGACAACUCCUUAAAGACCUUCUCUCAGGUGCUAUACGGGAAGAACCAAUGUUUAUGGUAUUGGACAAAUGACCAUGGAGCAGGUUUAACAGAACAUUUUUGUUUCUACUUAAACCUUUGGGUGAUGAAGUUCACUCUGUGUGUUUUAUUUAAGUUAGAUAAGAUAUGGGGAGGGAAGAAAGCAGACGCACUGUCAUAUUUCACGCAUUGAACUUCCUGCAUGUUAUCUCUUCCCUUCCCUUUACACAAGUGCCAGGUGCACUUCCAGCCGGUGAGACUGGACUGUUUUAAAGAGCUUGCAGUCGAAGCUAAGAUGUUGCUGCUGGAUAUCUCUGAUCUCAUUUGGGAGAGAAGAGGGGAAAAAAGCUGUGAGGUUGGCCUGCAGGAGCGGUGGCAGCAUGCGGGGUGGAGUCGUAGCUCUAUCAGGAGAGCCAGAACUCUCCAAGUUUGCAGUGAGUCUGAAUUAUGAAGCAGGUGUCUGCACCGCUCCGGAGCCUGUGCUCAGCUUGCUCGCGGUGCAGCCGGCCUAGCAGCAGGAAGCUGCGGUCACCUGGGAGCUUAGAUGGACUUCGGGUGCCGCAGCCAGCUGGAUCAUCUCCUACCACAGAUCUGAAGUAUUUGAAGCCUCCAGUGACAGAGGAUCUGUUUGCAUCCGGCUUCCAGCAGCUGUUGUUCAAAUCUUCGGAGAAACUCUGUAAUUCUUCAGGUACUACCCUAAGGCUUGUGACCAGGUCAGUCAUAGCUUAAAACUCCACCUGUUGACAAUAGGAGGAUGACCCAAUGCUGGGAAAGAACUUGGAAUAAAUGUGCUUAAUUAAAUUAAGCUUAUGGUAUCACAUAUUUCAGUGAUGACAAAAUGAUUGCAGCAGAUCUUACCUGGCAGGACAUUUUACCUUUUUUGGAAUGCAGUAUUUCCGUAACAGGAGAGUAUUUCUAUCCUCCACACCCAUCAGCUUGUGUUAUACUAGUGAUUUCUUUACAGACUAAUUCCUUGUAGACAGUUCCCUAAAGCAGAAUGCUUUCUGUAAAUGCCCAAUCAGAGUAAAUUUGCCAGGUACUCGAACUAAAGGGAUGAGAGACAAGGAUUUGCUGUUAGAUAAGCUGCUGAAACAGAAGAGUUGCUCAGCUUAUUGUCCUAUACGUUUGCCCAGGUCUCUUCAAACUCUAAACUAGUUAAGUUGCUUGUUUUCCCUGUAAGACUUCA
Molecule: non-coding RNA, 1218 nt
Organism: Phalacrocorax carbo (great cormorant)
Lineage: Eukaryota; Metazoa; Chordata; Aves; Suliformes; Phalacrocoracidae
Source: RefSeq, a predicted model, not a curated record